RNAcentral lists this ribosomal RNA (254 nucleotides) under uncultured bacterium. Its description in RNAcentral is "partial 16S ribosomal RNA". It matches the Rfam family "Bacterial small subunit ribosomal RNA", at positions 524 to 776 of the family's 1533-position model. The record is from RNAcentral.
UACGGGGGGAGCAAGCGUUGUUCGGAUUUACUGGGCGUAAAGGGCGCGCAGGCGGCCACCGCAAGUCGACUGUGAAAUCUCCGGGCUUAACCCGGAAAGGUCAGCCGAUACUGCGGGGCUAGAGUGCAGAAGGGGCAACUGGAAUUCUCGGUGUAGCGGCGAAAUGCGUAGAUAUCGAGAGGAACACCUGCGGCGAAGGCGGGUUGCUGGGCUGACACUGACGCUGAUGCGCGAAAGCUAGGGGAGCGAACGGG